This is a non-coding RNA of Callorhinus ursinus (northern fur seal), 366 nucleotides long. The record is from RefSeq and is a predicted model, not a curated record. Lineage: Eukaryota; Metazoa; Chordata; Mammalia; Carnivora; Otariidae.
AGAGAGAGAGAGAAUGAGAGAUAGAGAGCACGAGAGGGAAGAGAGCCAGAGGUGGCCAACCGAAAGUUCAUUCUUAAUCUGUAAGCCUUUUUGGGAGGUGAUCUCUCUGGUCCUUUCUGCCUCCUUCCACAGAUCCCUGAGGCAGAGAAGCAACUGAAAUGUGCUGGACUCAGCCUGGGGUCCUGGGGUGCAGCUGGGUUACUCUUGCCUGUUUGGGAACGGUCACAGGGAAUGGUUGAAAUAAUGUUGCCUCACUUUCGAUCAUGCUUUUUCCUGUACUUCAAGUAGAAGAAUGUAUUUUCUUGCAUAACUUGGGGAAGCUGCACUGUUUCAUGUGUUACCUUCUUACAGGUUUCUCUUCCUCUA